GACGUAGGGCGCGAGCGUUGUCCGGAUUUAUUGGGCGUAAAGAGCUCGUAGGCGGUGUGUCACGUCGGCCGUGAAAACCUGCAGCUUAACUGUGGGCGUGCGGUCGAUACGGGCAUCACUGGAGUUCGGCAGGGGAGACUGGAAUUCCUGGUGUAGCGGUGAAAUGCGCAGAUAUCAGGAGGAACACCGGUGGCGAAGGCGGGUCUCUGGGCCGAUACUGACGCUGAGACGCGAAAGCGUGGGGAGCAAACAGG
This 254-nucleotide ribosomal RNA is filed under the name uncultured bacterium. Its description in RNAcentral is "partial 16S ribosomal RNA". It matches the Rfam family "Bacterial small subunit ribosomal RNA", at positions 524 to 776 of the family's 1533-position model. The record is from RNAcentral.